UCUCCCCCUUUCCCUUUCCCUCUUUUCCCCCCAAUUUUUUUCCUCCACCCCCAAAAAACCCUAGUUUUCUCCCCUCCGAGCCCUCGCUCCCCCCUCUCCCCAAUUCCCACCAUCCUCAUUUUUCCUGGCUAAUUCACCCUCGCAAAUCGCAAUUCAGCUGAAAUCAUGGACGAUUCGGAGCAGAAUAAGCUGUUUGUCGGGGGCAUUUCGUGGGACACGACGGACGAUGCCCUCAAGGACCAUUUCGGCCAGUACGGCGCCGUUUUGGGCUCCGUGAUUGCUCGGGAUCGGAUUUCCGGUAACCCCAGGGGCUUCGCCUUCGUCACCUUCUCGGAUUCUUCCGCCGUCGACCGCGCUCUUCAGGAUUCCCAUCAAAUUCUUAGCAGAACGGUGGAAGUGAAGAGGGCCAUUCCCAGGAGCGAACAACAAAGUCAACAACAGAACUAUAGGGGAGUGAGUAGGAAUAACAGUAGGACUAACAGUAGGAGCAACGUGCAGUUUAGGACGAAGAAGAUUUUCGUAGGGGGUUUGUCGGCUAACUUGACUGAGGAAGAAUUCAGAAGAUACUUUGAGAAGUUUGGUAGGAUUACUGAUGUAGUUGUGAUGCAUGACAAUCUGACUCAUAGGCCGAGAGGAUUUGGUUUUAUUACCUUUGAUUCAGAGGAUUCGGUGGAGGAAGUUAUGCAGAAGAGCUUCCAUGAGUUGACUGGAAAGCUCGUCGAGGUUAAAAGAGCUGUUCCAAAGGAUGGAAUUGGCAGUAGUAACAUUGGUUAUAAUGGAAGGUUAGGCGAUGCAAGAAGCCCUACUAGCUUCAAUUCUUAUCAGCAGGGGAGUUACGUGCCUGUAAAUUCUAGAUAUGGGUAUUUCCCUGGAUAUGGUAAUGUGGCUGGGUACCCAUACGGAGCUGGGAUGUAUGGUGGUGGUUAUCCCUCUGGAGGGUAUGGUGGAAUUAGUUACGGACUCACUCCAAUUGCCCCAAGGAGUCCUUGGAAUCCAGCGAUGGUUGGUGUCAGGGGAGGUUUCCUGCCUUAUGGAAGUGCCGCUCCUGUGUAUCCCUCCUACGUGAAUGGCGGACCUGGAGUUAUGGGACUGUCUAUGAACGGAUAUGGUGGUGGGAUAUUGGGUGGAGAAGCUCAACACUCGACUGAGUCAACACCCUCUCAGACUGGUAUAAAUAAUGUAGAUGCCAAUUCUUUUGGUUCCAGUAGAGGUUUCGGAGGUGCAGCUAGCAAACAGAGUCAUAGAGUUAGUGAUAAGUCUUACCAAGCUGCUAACUCAAGCUGACUGCUUGCCAUCUUCAUUGUGGAUAUUGACAUGUUAGAAGUUUCUCCCACUGACAGAGUUGGGAAUCAUCAUGGUUUCCCGAGUCAGAUUUUCCUGGUCAUUUUGUGUACUGCUUAUGAUGACUUUCAUUUCCUAUUGAAACUGCUGAGGGAAAGGAAUAUAUGCCACUCUUUUUUUUUAAACUGAGAUUCAUGUAAGAUGCAUAUUCGGUAUUCUUGCUAUGAAUGAAUGUUGAUGAUGCUUUGGGUA
Salvia hispanica is the source of this 1533-nucleotide non-coding RNA. NCBI's taxonomy places the organism in Eukaryota, Viridiplantae, Streptophyta, Magnoliopsida, Lamiales, Lamiaceae. The record is from RefSeq and is a predicted model, not a curated record.